UACGGAAGGGGCAAGCGUUGUUCGGAAUCAUUGGGCGUAAAGGGCGCGUAGGUGGUUCUGUAUGUCUACCGUGAAAGCAUACAGCUCAACUGUAUUUUGUCGGUAGAAACUGCAGGACUUGAGGCUGGGAGGGGCUGGUGGAAUUCCCGGUGUAGCGGUGAAAUGCGUAGAGAUCGGGAGGAACACCGGCGGCGAAGGCGGCUGCCUGGACCAGUCCUGACGCUGAGGCGCGAAAGCUAGGGGAGCAAACGGG
RNAcentral lists this ribosomal RNA (253 nucleotides) under uncultured bacterium. RNAcentral's name for it is "partial 16S ribosomal RNA". It matches the Rfam family "Bacterial small subunit ribosomal RNA", at positions 524 to 776 of the family's 1533-position model. The record is from RNAcentral.